RNAcentral lists this ribosomal RNA (464 nucleotides) under uncultured bacterium. Its description in RNAcentral is "partial 16S ribosomal RNA". It matches the Rfam family "Bacterial small subunit ribosomal RNA", at positions 339 to 795 of the family's 1533-position model. The record is from RNAcentral.
CUACGGGCCGCUGCAGUGGGGAAUAUUGCACAAUGGGCGCAAGCCUGAUGCAGCCAUGCCGCGUGUAUGAAGAAGGCCUUCGGGUUGUAAAGUACUUUCAGCGGGGAGGAAGGGAGUAAAGUUAAUACCUUUGCUCAUUGACGUUACCCGCAGAAGAAGCACCGGCUAACUCCGUGCCAGCAGCCGCGGUAAUACGGGGGGUGCAAGCGUUAAUCGGAAUUACUGGGCGUAAAGCGCACGCAGGCGGUUUGUUAAGUCAGAUGUGAAAUCCCCGGGCUCAACCUGGGAACUGCAUCUGAUACUGGCAAGCUUGAGUCUCGUAGAGGGGGGUAGAAUUCCAGGUGUAGCGGUGAAAUGCGUAGAGAUCUGGAGGAAUACCGGUGGCGAAGGCGGCCCCCUGGACGAAGACUGACGCUCAGGUGCGGAAGCGUGGGGAGCAAACAGGAUUAGAUACCCUCGUAGUC